GGGAAAAAGGUCCACUGGUGAUAUAUGCCAUUCUUUGAUCAAAUAGAGCAUUUGAAUAUCAAGUGAUGUGUGCUUGGGUCGUGUUGCUUUCUCUAUUUAGUAAUUCUGAAGCUAGAUUAAGGUGCACAUCUCAACUGUUUGCACCAGUUGAGGUACACAUUAAGUGGAACAUUUUUGUAUCAAUGGACAAUGAUAUAUUUAGUACAUUAAAUUAAACAAGUGUGUGAAUGAUACGUAUCAACAGCCAAAUACUUGGCAAGAAAAUCCUGAGGCAAGAGGCCUCUGAUCAAAUGCACGUGGAUGACACGUGUCCACGCGGUUUCUUUGUCGAGAAGGUGGCUUCAAGGGGACCAGUUUGUAUUCAAUUCGACCAAUGGCCGAGGAGCAUUUGCCUUGUAAUGGAAACAUCUCGACAACUUGAUACUAAUAACUUCGAAAGCUACUACACUCUUGAUAUUUCAAGCUAAUUUUUGUCGUUUCAUUUUAUGUAUGGUAGAGACUUUUUUUUAGUAUUUAGAUUAUAUGAGUUGGAAGUUAAGAUGAAAACAAUUUAAAUCCUGCUUCAUCUCUAGGCACCAUUUGGCAUUUUCAAUGGGACUUCAAACAAUUUUUGUGUAUU
Olea europaea var. sylvestris is the source of this 619-nucleotide long non-coding RNA. RefSeq lists it as uncharacterized. The transcript is spliced from 2 exons. The record is from RefSeq and is a predicted model, not a curated record. NCBI's taxonomy places the organism in Eukaryota, Viridiplantae, Streptophyta, Magnoliopsida, Lamiales, Oleaceae.